GGGGGCGAAACGGCUUCGACGGGGAUAUAGAAACUCCGGCUGCAUAUCGAGUGCCUGCUAACUCGUAAAAAUGGUGGGAAAAUAUAUAAUCGCAGAUGAUUAUGAAUAUGCCCUGGCCGCUUAAAUAGGCCAGCGUUCUGCCGGGUUUUUCCCGCGUAUCCGGUAAGAGCGUCGACUAGCGGGAUAGCGUUUAUUGGCUUGCCUGUAACCGAAAACGCGAAACUUUCGCAGGCUAGUCUUAGCGGAAUCCAGCCUGAAGGAGUCUUACAAGGCGAAAUUUAAAAUUCAGGAUAAAUAUGUAGAUGCCCGAGCGGAAUAUUUUCGGACGCGGGUUCGACUCCCGCCGCCUCCACCA
This 355-nucleotide transfer-messenger RNA is filed under the name Desulfococcaceae bacterium HSG9. It matches the Rfam family "transfer-messenger RNA". From Rfam's summary of the family: Bacterial tmRNA, also known as 10Sa RNA or SsrA, is named for its dual tRNA and mRNA-like properties. Its role is to liberate the mRNA from a stalled ribosome. The record is from RNAcentral. Lineage: Bacteria; Pseudomonadati; Thermodesulfobacteriota; Desulfobacteria; Desulfobacterales; Desulfococcaceae. RNAcentral also lists the same sequence under 1 other name.